RNAcentral lists this long non-coding RNA (1429 nucleotides) under Bos indicus x Bos taurus (hybrid cattle). RNAcentral's name for it is "lncRNA (ENSBIXG00000013722.1)". Lineage: Eukaryota; Metazoa; Chordata; Mammalia; Artiodactyla; Bovidae. The record is from RNAcentral.
GUUCCACGUUUGCCUUUGCGAUUCGAGAAUCCUCUCUCGGGGGCGGCCUUGGGUAGUCGCCCUCAGCCGGGAGCCUCGGUGCCUGGGGCGGAGACGGGAUGCCGGGUGUUCUCCGGGCGCCGCGCGCUGCCCCCGCGGGCUCUGUCCGAGGUGCUGAACGCCGCGGGCUCGGGGCGCGCAGGCAGUGAGCGCGGGUGUCCAUUGUCGCCAGUACAUGUGAGCAUCUUCGUGGAGAUGACCGAGUGUGGGGGUCAGGUGAAGCCAGGGCGGUGUCUUUUGAAUGCUAAUACUGCUGCUGCUGCUAAGUCGCUUCAUUUGUGUCCGACUCUGUGCGACCCCAUAGAUGGCAACCCACCAGGCUCCCCCAUCCCUGGGAUUCUCCAGGCAAGAACACUGGAGUGGGUUGCCAUUUCCUUCUCCAAUGAAUGAAAGUGAAAAGUGAAAUUGAAGUCACUCAGUCAUGUCCAACUCUUAGCAACCCCAUGGACUGCAACCUACCAGGCUCCUCCAUCCAUGGGAUUUGCCAGGCAAGAGUACUGGAGUGGGGUGCCAUUGCUUUCUCCAUAUACUGCCUAAUCUGAGCCUAAUGUUUAUUAUUUGCAUUUCUGCUUUAGGGGCCAGCUGGAGCAGCAGACAGAUUUGACUAAAGACUGUGGAAGGAAGGGCAUUUGGGGUCAGACUUGUCCUGGAACAUGCUUCCCACCUGUCUUUUGGGAUUCACCUGGUAAAUUCUCCUUUGGGUUUUUGGAGUUUUUAACCUUUGUUUUAAUUCAAGUUUUAAAAUUUGUUUGCAUACAGUUAUACAGAAAACUCCGUAAUCUUUCUUUUAAUUUGGCUUUUAUGCUUCCAUUUUUAUAUAUAAUUCUUGGAUCCAUAUGGAACUUACUCAUAUGUGAAGGUAAUACACUGAUUGUUUUUCCUUCAAAUAGCUAACCUGUUUUCCCAGCAGUUUACUGAAUGCUUCAUCCUUGCUGAUAAAUUUAAUGAUGCCAUUAAAUUUUUUUAAAUUUCCAUUUUAUAUAUUUAUGAAUAUUUAUUAUUUUAUUUUUUGCUGUGCUGGAUCUUCAUUGCUAUGUGGGCUUUUUUUAGUUGUGGCAAGUGGGGGCUACUCUCUAGUUGCGGUGUAAGGGGUUCUUAUUGCAAUGGCUUCUCCUGUGGCUCCCAGGCUCUAGCCUCAGUAGUUGUGUUUAGGCGUGGCUGUCCCUCUGCAUGUGGGAUCCCCCCAGACCUGGGAUCGAACCAUCCUCUGCAUUGGCAGGUGGAUUCUUAACCAGUGGACCACCAGGGAAAUCCUAAUGAUGCCAUUUUAAUCAAAUACUCAAUUCCCAUAGUUGCUCGAAUUUAUUUUUUUACUUUCUGGUCUCUUACUUUGAUCUCUUGGUCUAAUCCUACUCUAAAAUAUCUGUGGCCUUAAACAAUGUUUUGAUAU